CCAUAAGAUGGCAUUUGCUUCACCACUUUAAGAAAAGUGGAAUCGAGACACAUCCCUGCUCGUGAUGUUCACAUCCCCGGAGAGAUGGACAGGCAGUGUGUUUUUACUCCAGCAGGUGGGGAUUUCUGACAACUUAAAUUAACAUCGCUUGCGUCCCCACCGUGUCUAAAUGUACUAAGAGAGCCGCCCUGAUGACACCAACCAGGCUGAUGAAGGCACCAACAAGGCGGACGCCCAACUAAAGACCACCUAACUUCCUGCUCAGACAGAUACGCUGCUCUGGCCACAGCCCCCCACCUCCCCCCAGGGGGCAGAAAGGAACCCAAGUGGGGUUGAAGCAAGUGAGCUUCGUCCAGGCCGGGAUGCUGACCUUUCUUCCCGCCCUCCUAUGGAGAUUCCCUACCGUCCGGCUUGGGAUUCUGUAGCCUUCACGCCCACACCGGCAACUCCUCUUCCCUGCAAUACCCUCCCACGCCGGCCUGAGCACAGCGGCUGCCACAUCCCGCGUGUUCGAUCAAUGUGGAUUGAGUUCGCCUACUCAUUCAGCAUGCCUGGUCCUAACAGAUACAACUGCACGUACCAAGGUCCAGAGAUCACUCGGGAGAGUGGAGCGCCCUGUGCCACGCGGGUACACCUGGCUCGGAACCCUCGCCAGCUCCGGGCUAAAUAUGGACAUUGAGCCACGACUGGACAUUGGUUCUAGACUGCAUUCAAUGCGUGUUAUCACAUUAAAUAAAGGAAUGAGAAUUCUUCAAGCAAAUAAGAGAGAAAAGGACAGCCUGAAGGAGGUUAUUACAAGAUACUGAGUAUAGUUCCAUGUGCUAUACGGUCCAGAAGACCCAUUUCCUCCGACGUGUCCUUAUGUGCCAUGAACAUGUUCUUCUGGAUACACUUAUUUGUGAGUAGGAGGCUUUGGGUCAAUGGUGGGGUGGGAGUAGGGAAUCCUAACUCCACUGUUCACUAGCUGUGUGACUUCAAGCACCUCCCUAACCUCUCUGAGCCUUGGUGUGCUCAUCUGUAAAAUGGAACCAGAAUCGCCUGCCUCAAAGAAUUAUUGGGAGAAUGCAAUAAAAUAGUAUAGGCCAAACACGAGGUACAAAGUACAUGAUCAAUAAAUGGUAGGUUUUAAAAAAAAAUGAAUGUAUGUACCGCUUAAACUGUGAUCCCAGUAACAGCUACCUGAUUAUACUCUUAUAUAUUACAGUCAUAUGUAUUAUACACUUAUGUGUAUGGGGCUUCUCCCAUACACUGAGGACUCUUUCCUUCUGCUGUGAACUGAAGUGUUCUCCCAGCAUGUUUUCCUGUCCCCUUUGAGGACAAUGCAUCCUCACUCUGUAGACGCAGCUGGUCCUUAACCAGAUGCACGUUUUUACAAAGUUCAGAUGGUGGGACUUCCCUGGUGGUCCAGCAGUUAAGACUCCGCACUCCCAAUGCAAGGGGCCUGCGUUCGAUCCCUGGUCAGGGAACUAGAUCCCGCAUGCUGCAGCUAAAGGUCCCGCAUGCCUCAACUAAGACCCGGCACAGCCAAAUAAAUAAACAUAAAAAAAUUAAAAGUUCAGAUGGCAAUGCAGGGAAUAGAUUGUAAAGGUAAAAACUAGAAACCACGGGCUUCCCUGGUGGCGCAGUGGUUGAGGGUCCGCCUGCAGAUGCAGGGGACGUGGGUUCGUGUCCUGGUCCGGGAAGAUCCCACAUGCCGCGGAGCGGCUGGGCCCGUGAGCCAUGGCCGCUGAGCCUGCGCGUCCGGAGCCUGUGCUCCGCAACGGGAGAGGCCACAACAGUGAGAGGCCCGCGUACCGCAAAAAAAAAAAAAAAAAAACUAGAAACCAGGAAGCCUGGUGAGGGAUCAUGCAACAAUCCAGGGAAAAGAUGAUAAGGCCCUGAAAAGGAGGAGGCAAUGAGGAGAAGCUGGGGAGGACAGCCCUGAGAGAUAUUUACGAAGUAGACUCAGUAGCUUGGCUGUACAGCGGAAAUUAACACAACGCUGUAAAUCAACUAUAUUUCAAUAAAAUAUAUAUUUUAUAUAUAAAAGAAUUGGACUCAGCAGAACAUGACAGAUGAUUGCAGAAGGCGGCAUGGUGUAAUGAAGAGAACUCGAGCUCAGCCAGCCAGGGAGACCAGAGCUAACUCGCUCUCUGCUAUGUGAGGACACAGCAAGAAGGAAGCUCUCUGCAUGUCAGGAACUGAAUCUGCACCUUGACCUAGGACUUCCCAGCCUUCAGGAUUGUGAGAAAUAAAUGUUAUCUAAGCCAUGCAACCAACGGUAGUUUGUUGGCAGCCUGAGCUGACUACAUCAUCCGCGUAAGGUCUUUUAGGAGGCUCUCUGGCUCUGCUGCAUUGGUCCAUUUGCCGUCCCUACACUAAUCCCCCAUUGCCUUACUUAUUGUAGGUUCAUAAGUCCUGGUGUGUGGGGGGCGUUCCCCACCUUCCUGCUAUCCCUCUUCAGAAGUGCUCUGCUAUUCUUAGCCUUUUAUUUCUUCCAUAUGAAUUUUUAAAUGAUUUAAUCAAGUUCUAUGAAAAACAUUGUUCAGAUUUUGAUAGAAAUUGCAUUGAAUCUAUAGAUCAAAUUGGGCAGAACUGGCAUCUUCACGAUCUUGAAACUUCCUGUCCAGGAGUUUGGUGUAUCCACUUAUCUGGGUCGUUAGCAUCGCGAACAAAAUUUUAUAAUGUUCUCCAUAGAGGUCCUGCGCAUAUUUUGGUAGAGUCUUGAUAUUCUCUGAUGCUUUUAUUAGACACUUGAUAUUCUCCACUGUCUUCAAUAGUAAUUACAUUCCUAAUCAUUUGCUGCUGGUAUACAAAAAUAUACCGGAAUCUUAUAUCCAGCAAUUUUGCUAAACUCUGGUAUGAUGCAUGUCAAUAAUAGCAUAUGAAUUCUUCUGGCUUUCCUAUGUAGCAAUCAUGUCACCAGCAAAUACUGAGUUUUAUUACCCGCUUUCCAGUUUCAUGUCUCUAAUCUCUUUUUCUUUUUCUUAUCUUACUGAACUGCCCAGGUCUUCCAAUACAGUAGAACUUAUGGUAGCAGGGAUUCUUGUCUCAUCCUUGAUUUUAAAGGAAAUGCUUCUUAUAUUUCCCCUAUUAGGAUUUUAUUUCUUUGUUUUUUUAUGGAUACUUGUUUUCAAAAUAAUCUUUAAUUUAGAAACAGUUUUUAGCAUGAAAGUGUUCAAAUUUAUCAAAGUUAAAUCUACUGCCCCCCCUUGAAAUGGUUAGAUGGUUUUUCUCUUUUAAUCUGUUAAUAUGAUGAUAUAUUUGCAGUUUUCUAUUACUAGGGCAUCCCAGACAGCUGGGAUAUACCCAAUUAAAUGUGGUAUAUAUUUUUUUAAUGCCAUGUUGGUAUUUUAUUUGCCAAUAUUUUGUUUAGUGUUUUUGCAUCUAUAUUCAUGAGUGAAAUGGGACCAUGAUUUUCCUUUCUGAUAAAAUCUGUGGUUUUGGUGUCAGUACAGGGAGAGGAAGAUGCUGUAAUCUGGCUUUAAUAUCUUUACACAGAAAUCUUUGAAAGCUCAUUUUUAGUAAACAAUCAGGGACUUCCCUCGUGGCACAGUGGUUUAGAGUCCACCUACCAAUGCAGGGGACAUGGGUUUGAUCCCCGGUCCAGGAAGAUCCCACAUGCUGUGGAGCAACUAAGCCCGUGCACCAUAUCUGCUGAGCCUGUGCUCUAGAGCUUGCGAGCCACAAUUACUGAGCCCACGUGCCACAACUACUGAAGCCCACACGUCUACAGCCCGUACUCCGCAACAAGAGAAGCCACCGCAACGAGAGGCCCACGCACCGCAGCGAAGAGUGGCCCCUGCUCGCUGCAACUAGAGAAAACCCGCGUGCAGCAACAAAGACCCAACACGGCCAAAAAUAAUUUUUUUUAAUUUAUUAAAAAAAAACAACUAGCGAUCAAUGGCACCUAGUGAGGACUAGUUUUUUCCCCUAAGUACUCAAAAAAUCAACGAACUUAACAAUUUUCUGUAGCAAUUUCUUGUGGAUUGACAUCAUAUUCACCAACACGUAGAUGUUAAAAUCUGUCUUGUUCCCUCUAAAAAGAUCCGGGUGGGUUUUCCCGGCUCCAACCCCCAGCACCUCUCCCCGUUGCUGUCAUUCCUCGGAGUCGACCGGCCACUGUGCCUCCAGCACACCUGUGCGACCCCGAGAGCGCCUCACCACCUGGACGUGGCUCUCGAGAAACCCAAGAGCCAGCUGGUACGUGACGUGUGCUUUGGGACACAGCACGGGAGGUCCCCCAGGUUUCUUAGAAAAGAAGUAACUUUACAUCAAAGACAUCAUUAGGUUGUGGACUCUUGGCGAGUACACUAAUGUUAUCCUUCAAACAGAACUUUCUAGAUCUGCUUCUGGGCAGGCAGCCCAAUGUGAGAGCACUCCGUGGCCAGGCAGCGCCACUCAGGAGCAAGGCAUCCCUGUCAUCGCCGGCGGGAGAAUCUCGGGGCCAGCUUUCGGCUCCGGCAGGGCCUCGCCUGCAUCAGCAUGCUCUGCUCAUCCUCUCCACCCCCCACAGCGAGCAGGUGGGCUCCAGGAACCCCUCAGGGCGGAGCGAGGUCCAGCUGUGAAGUUCCAAAGGAAGGAAACACCUGCACCUGGCGUCUCCCAGCACAGCAUCCCUGCCUUUGCUCCUUUCCUGUUCUGGCUGCAGACAGGCCACGUCAUCACCACGUGGGGCCCCUCCUGGCUCCUGCAUGGAAAAUCACGGAGGCCCCUUCUGCUGGACAGGCCAAGCCAGGCUCUGCUCUGGGUUAAAGACAGGGCAUCGCUCUCCACAAGACCUAAGGGGUUUCUGAGCACUGAGAUCAUGAGAUAAGGUGGCCAGUUCCCUAAAGAGAAAGGGUUUGUACUUUGUCCCCUUGCCCAUUCUCUUAUCCCCUUUCCCUCCUUCCCCUCUAGAAGGAAAGAAGAAAGGGAGAAAGGAAAGUAGGAGCAGGGAGGAAGGAAGGAAAGGAGGAGCGAGGGAGGGAGAGAGGAAGGAAGAGAAGAAGGAAAGAAGGAGGAAAGGGAGGGAAAGUGGGAGAAAACUUCAGGCAAAUAAAACCCCACGUCUUGAAUUUCUAUGAACACAGGAAGUGGAUUCAUUAGUCAGGGUAGCGGGAGGUAACCGAGGCAGCUCUGAGGGUGGGAGGGCAAGCUGGCCAUGAGGGUUGAUGCCACUAACCUUUGGCAGCUCAGUGGACACGCCAUGCCCUGGCAGGGGGCUGCACUGAGCUGCCGCGAAGAGAUGAGCCCUGUACCCCCUCCCUGGGAUGGCCAAACCUGCAGCCCCGAGGCUGCUCUGUGCUCCAUGAGCUGGACUAGCUCCCUCCAUGGAAGUAUCUGUCAUGGCCCUGGUUUCCUGCCCAGCCCCUGAUGGAUACCUUCCCCAUCACCCCAACCACCCCUUACCCUCACCACUAACCAGCUUUCAUCAGGACAAAAGAAUGAGAAAGAGAAUGGCCCUAUCUGUCUCAAAACACUUCUGUGAUGUUUAUUUUUUCCAUUAUAAAAGAAGUAGCCAGAGGAAGUAUGGAAAAGUACAGGAAAGUUUUAAAAAGAAAGAAUUUACCCAUAGUUCCACUACUCAGAGACAACUGACAUUAAUAUUUUGGGGAACACUUAUGCCCCAUGUAACACCUUUUAAUUUUUUUCCAAUUUAAGAAGAUAGAGGUAAAUAGGUAUUAAACAAAAUGACAAUUAUCACAACAGAGAUAUUCUUAGUAAAAGAACUGUCCUCCUUAACUUCCUAGCUAAGUUUUCCUUAAAAAUCAUUCUCCUGAACUAUUAUAAUGUGGUGGUGGGGAGAGUCUCUUACUCUCUCUUCUCAUGCUUUCCAAAUCGGUUCUUUAUUUAUUAUUUGAAUUCUUACCCAUCACAUUCAUGUUACUUUGAGAGAUUACAAAUUUAUUCUCCAAUAUCUCCAACAGCCUCAGAAAGAGAAGAUCUUAUGCAUAUGUACAAGUCUAAACCCAAUGUGGCAGAUUGAAGAUGGUCACAAAUUCUUGGACAAAUUUUUGUAUGUCCCCCCCCCCCCCAAAUUCACAUGUUGAAGUCCUAACCCCCAGUUCCCUAGAAGGUAACUGUUUUGAAGACAGAGCUUUAAAGAGGUGAUUAAGGUAAAAUGAGGUCAUUAGGGUGAGCCCUAAUCCAAUAUGACUGGCGUCCUUAUAAGGAGAGGAGAUUUGGACACACACAGAGACACCAGGGAUGUGCCCAAACAGAGGAAGGACCAUGGGUGAAAGUGGCCAUCUGCAAGGCAAGGGGAGAGUCCUCAGGAGAAAGCAAAUUUUCUGACACCUCAGUCUUGGUCUU
Long non-coding RNA from Globicephala melas (long-finned pilot whale), 6273 nucleotides. RefSeq lists it as uncharacterized. Lineage: Eukaryota; Metazoa; Chordata; Mammalia; Artiodactyla; Delphinidae. The record is from RefSeq and is a predicted model, not a curated record.